Molecule: long non-coding RNA, 1443 nt
Filed under: Equus asinus (donkey)
Lineage: Eukaryota; Metazoa; Chordata; Mammalia; Perissodactyla; Equidae
Description: lncRNA (ENSEASG00005028699.1)
Source: RNAcentral
GUAAAUCCUGGGUCUGCCACUCACUGUCUGUGAACUCUAAGCCUCAGUUUCCAUGUUAGUAUUACUUGCUAGAGUUGUUGUGAGGAUUUAAUUAAAUCAUAUCUGUAAAGGCACUCAACUAAGGCUAGUCAUUGUUACUUCAGUGAUGUAAGAUCGAAGUAAAAAUGUAAACCAUGAUGCUUCCAUUCUUUCCUAAAUUAUGGGUGUGAGUGAUAGGGAGUGGAGGAUGAGUGUAUGACUGAGAUAGCAUGGGGGUACCUCCUAGGGCUUCCCAUAUCUCUUAGCUGCUCACUGGGUUUUCAACUCUUCCUGGCUUCCUUCUGUUCCAGAGCCUGAGUUCUAAGUGUCAGAAAUAAUGGACUGGUGCAUAGGCAACACUGAGGAUUUCUAUACUGGAAAUACAUACCUAUCAAGUUACUGAAAACAAAUAGAGAACUUUUCUUAUAUGGGAUUUAAAUCUGCACACGUCUAACAAGCUCUCCAGUGAUGCCAAUGCUGCUCAUCUGAGGACCACACUUUGAGCACCAAAGAGCUAGAGUUUUCGCUUCUGCCUACCCCUACUUCCAAGGGAGCCAACAGACUCUGAGGCCUGUGUUCACUCCUUCUCUAGCAGAGCCAACAGACCCAGGUGGAGAAAAUCUACAUGCAACAAGAUUCAUAAGGAACUAGAAGAGAGGGGAAGUGCCUUUUCAGAAUACGGAGGGAAGUGGUGACACCAGUAGGAUGAAGGGAUAAAAGAGGAGAGGACUGUAGGCAUUGCUGGAGAGAAUGGAGAGAAUGUAGGACAGCAGGCAGGGCUCUGUGCUUGGCAUCCUUUCUCCAGAGGCCCCGGUGGGAAGGAGGUCUUCCUCCUUCAAGUAGUGCAAAGGAAUGAAGUAGUUGCAUUGGAGGUUACAGGGGUACUAGGUGGCAUGCCCUUUUAAGACCAUGUGUCCUUGAGGCUCCUUGUCUAGGCUACGUGCCAACACUCAUGAUGAUAACACAUGAUAAUAAUCCUGGGCUUGGUUAACCCAGCUGUUUUUGAAUGGGUGAGUUAGCACAAAGUCCCUCAUGGUCUGAGGGAACACGGAAGCCCUUGGGGAGGCGGGGGGCUCUGGUCCUUGGAAUGCAGGUCAUAUAGGGACAGUCCCCCUUGGUAAGCACACAGCCUUUGUUCCUUUGCCUACUUAAGCAAGCAUCUCUCAGGGAGCAGUAGCAGGUGCACAUCUCGGGUCCACUGGACUUUCCCUGUAAGUAACUCCCCGAUAAAAACUUAUGUCUCGUUCACCAUCUCUGGGUCUUUUCUUUGGUCUCUUGGCAACCUGUCCUGCACUGCUCACCUAGCUGGGCAUGUAGCAGAACAGAGGCUCGGUGACCAGUCUUAUGUCCCCCACUUCCUAGUCCUUUGUAAUUGGCACUUUUCACUUGAAAUCUUGAAUGAAGAACUACUUAAACCAUUCUUAG